UGAUGGGAAGAUAUGGGGUAUCAUUAAAGCAACUAGCACUUCGGAAAUUCUUGUGUCAAUCACCCAUGCAGGUCCUAGGGGUAGUAAACUUGGAUCAGAGAAGUCCAUAAAUAUUCCGCGGAGCAAUAUUCGGUAUGAAGGCCUCACUUCAAAAGACCUUAUAGAUCUUGACUUUGUGGCCAACCAUGCAGACAUAGUGGGUGUAUCAUUUGUCCGAGAUGUCCGUGACAUUCUACUGUUGCGCCAAGAACUUGAGAAGCGGAAAAGAAGGGACUUGGGGAUUUCUUUAAAGAUCG
This 296-nucleotide unclassified non-coding RNA is filed under the name Hevea brasiliensis (rubber tree). The record is from RNAcentral. Lineage: Eukaryota; Viridiplantae; Streptophyta; Magnoliopsida; Malpighiales; Euphorbiaceae.